CUGGCUUUUUAUUGAUUUUUAUCUAUUUUUGCUUCAUUUAUUCACUUUAAAAGUUCAGAAAUGUGCGCUGGAAUGUAAAAAAUGACUGCCAACAAGUAAUCAACCUAUUAAGUGGACACAGUUUGCCAGGAAAAACGCAAUCUUCUGUUUUUAUCAACCUUCGAAGAAUAAAGUUAGAAAAAGUUCC
Molecule: long non-coding RNA, 187 nt
Filed under: Caenorhabditis elegans
Lineage: Eukaryota; Metazoa; Nematoda; Chromadorea; Rhabditida; Rhabditidae
Description: long non-coding RNA linc-14
Source: RNAcentral